GCCAUUAGCUCAGUUGGUAGAGCAUCUGACUUUUAAUCAGAGGGUCGAAGGUUCGAGUCCUUCAUCA
Molecule: transfer RNA, 67 nt
Filed under: Bacillus cereus
Lineage: Bacteria; Bacillati; Bacillota; Bacilli; Caryophanales; Bacillaceae
Description: tRNA-Lys
Rfam family: tRNA
About the family: Transfer RNA (tRNA) molecules are approximately 80 nucleotides in length.
Source: RNAcentral